CCUUAUUUUCCUAAAAUGCGGACGUUUUCUGUGAGCCGUUGGAUCUCAUCCAACGGCUGUAAUAGAAGGGCGAGACACGCGGGUAAAAAAGGGGGUGGGUCGGGUAAAAUACAACUCGCGGGUCACGAGGUGAUCUCAAACGGGCCAAACAAAACCCCCAAUUCCCUCACUUCUCACUCGUUGAACAAUAGACGAAGAGAGAGAGAGAGAAGAGCGGAGAAAUCAAAGAAGAAGGAGAAUCGACGAACGAAGAAACGAAUCGAAGACGAACGAUCUGUCAACAAGGUCUCUCUCUCUCUCGAACAACUUCCUUCCAGAAACCCUAACCCCCUCGAUUUUCAAACUCACAAAUUAGGGCUUGAUUACGCGAAGAAUACGGCUUGAUUUGAAGGAGUUAGAGCGGUGUAGAGAGGAGCUUGAAGCUUUGUUAUUAGUUGAAGAAAGAGCCUGAGACAGCAACGAAGGGUUUUAUCCGUAGACCAUCAUCACACUUCCGAGCUUGAACUAGAAGACGACGAAAUUGAGUUUUUCACAACUGUCACGAAUUUUUUAUUUUUUUUUUGGUAUAUGUUCAGUGUUUCUUCUGAUCGAGUGUUGCGAAUGCUUGACUCAGUAGUUAUGAAUGCUUGACUCAUUGUAUUUGUAUUUGGAGAGAAUCAGAUAUCAACUAUCCAUAGAACCAUUUUAAUUCCAUCAUUGUGAUUCAUGUUUCCACCAUAUUCCGUUAUGUAAUUGAUUUUCUUGAGUACUAUACUUUUAAAUGGAUAUGAACUUAGAGCAUAGGAAUUUU
Rhododendron vialii is the source of this 790-nucleotide RNA transcript. RefSeq lists it as uncharacterized. NCBI's taxonomy places the organism in Eukaryota, Viridiplantae, Streptophyta, Magnoliopsida, Ericales, Ericaceae. The record is from RefSeq and is a predicted model, not a curated record. The transcript has 2 exons.